AAACGUAAGAAACGAGAAAGAAAAAGAAGUUCAUAAGAAGAUUGAAAAAAAGAAAAAAGUUUUGCAGAGCUAACCAUCUUGUGUUUCUAUAUCCCUCUCUGUUUUUUCUAGGAAAGCGUGGGUCGCGCUCGCUUCGACAUGUUGGGAAAAAUGGUGCUGCCUUGUGGGAAGCCACCUGAAGACGAAGAACAGUGAG
RNAcentral lists this non-coding RNA (196 nucleotides) under Chloropicon mariensis. The record is from RNAcentral. Lineage: Eukaryota; Viridiplantae; Chlorophyta; Chloropicophyceae; Chloropicales; Chloropicaceae.